CACGUUAGUUAUCCAACCCUUUAAAACCACGUUAGUUAUCCAACCCUUUAAAACCACGUUAGUUAUCCAACCCUUUAAAACCAUCCUCAUCACCACUAACUCUGGAAGUACAAUAACAAACAUCAGGCUCUUCAUUCUAUUUUUAUUCAUAUGCUACGGGCCAGAGCUAUUAGAUUCCGGCUAUACAAUAUAAGCCUAUAUAUCUGUCACUCUCCUGUGUCAAAUAAACACUAGCAUUGUAAUUUUACAGUGUUGGAAAGCAACAACAACAAAAAACGUCUAAAAACUUGAAUCUACACAACGAUUGAUAAACAGAAUCAGUAAGUAAAACCUCCCCCAAAAAAACACCUUGAGAAAUUACAAAAAAAAAAGGAAAGUUACAAAUAUAAUUUGAUGACUGAGGACGAAAGAACGUUUGUAAACUAUUCUCAUUUAGCUUGUCAGAUGGUUUGUGUGGUUGGCUGUUAGCUCCUUAUACCAUUGUAUUUACAGGUUUGCGCACCAAAUGGCAGCCUAAUUCCCUUUAUAGCGCACUACUUUUAACCAGAGACCUAUGGGUCCUGGUCUAAAAGUAGUGCACUAUCUAGGGGGAUUAGGGUGCCAUUUGGGACGUAGAGCCUUAGUAUUCAUCACCUCCACUAUCCUCUGUCCCUCUGAACACUAUCAUUGCGGUGAUGUUAUGACCAGGGGAACGCAGUGUUUCACCGGAUGUUAACUGUUUCCAGAUCUUUCUAUUGUUUGUUUUUACAUUCCAUUCAUCAGAACAGAAAAGGAGUCCAGACAUUAAGACUAGCUAAAACCAGAGGCCCUUUUCCUCUCUCUUUCUCUUUCUUUCUCUCUUUCUCUCUUUCUUUCUUUCUCUCUUUCUUUCUUUCUUUCUUUCUCUCUCUUUCUCUUUCUUUCUCUCUUUCUCUCUUUCUUUCUUUCUUUCUCUCUCUUUCUCUUUCUUUCUCUCUUUCUCUCUUUCUCUCUUUCUCUCUUUCUUUCUUUCAGUCUUUCUUUCUCUCUUUCUUUCUUUCUCUCUGUCUCUUUCUUUCUUUCUCUCUUUCUUUCUUUCUCUCUUUCUUUCUCUCAGUCUUUCUUUCUCUCUCUCUUUCUUUCUCUCAGUCUUUCUUUCUCUCUGUCUCUUUCUUUCUCUCAGUCUUUCUUUCUCUCAGUCUUUCUUUCUCUCAGUCUU
This is a long non-coding RNA of Oncorhynchus tshawytscha (Chinook salmon), 1177 nucleotides long. The record is from Ensembl. NCBI's taxonomy places the organism in Eukaryota, Metazoa, Chordata, Actinopteri, Salmoniformes, Salmonidae.